GUAGAACGCUGAAGGAGGAGCUUGCUUCUCUGGAUGAGUUGCGAACGGGUGAGUAACGCGUAGGUAACCUGCCUGGUAGCGGGGGAUAACUAUUGGAAACGAUAGCUAAUACCGCAUAAUAGUAGAUGUUGCAUGACAUUUGCUUAAAAGGUGCAAUUGCAUCACUACCGGAUGGACCUGCGUUGUAUUAGCUAGUUGGUGGGGUAACGGCUCACCAAGGCGACGAUACAUAGCCGACCUGAGAGGGUGAUCGGCCACACUGGGACUGAGACACGGUCCAGACUCCUACGGGAGGCGGCAGUGGGGAAUAUUGCACAAUGGGCGCAAGCCUGAUGCAGCCAUGCCGCGUGUAUGAAGAAGGCCUUCGGGUUGUAAAG
Molecule: ribosomal RNA, 377 nt
Filed under: uncultured Streptococcaceae bacterium
Lineage: Bacteria; Bacillati; Bacillota; Bacilli; Lactobacillales; Streptococcaceae
Description: bacterial SSU rRNA
Rfam family: Bacterial small subunit ribosomal RNA
Source: RNAcentral